RNAcentral lists this ribosomal RNA (254 nucleotides) under uncultured bacterium. RNAcentral describes it as "partial 16S ribosomal RNA". It matches the Rfam family "Bacterial small subunit ribosomal RNA", at positions 524 to 776 of the family's 1533-position model. The record is from RNAcentral.
UACGUAGGGUGCGAGCGUUGUCCGGAAUUAUUGGGCGUAAAGAGCUCGUAGGCGGUGUGUCGCGUCGGCCGUGAAAACCUGCAGCUUAACUGUGGGCUUGCGGUCGAUACGGGCAUCACUGGAGUUCGGCAGGGGAGACUGGAAUUCCUGGUGUAGCGGUGAAAUGCGCAGAUAUCGGGAGGAACACCAAUGGCGAAGGCAGCUCGCUGGGACGGUACUGACGCUGAGGCGCGAAAGCGUGGGGAGCAAACAGG